CCCUUAACUAUUAAAAGUUUUGUUUUGAUCCCUUAACUUAUUUUUUGGUUUCGUUUUGGUCCCUUAAAUUAUUUUUUGGUUUCGUUUUGGUCCCUUAACUCUAAUACAUUCAUCCUAGCAUAAAGGACCAAAGUGGUUGACGAAGGAAGAGUUAAGGGACCAAAACAAAACCUAAAAAUAAGUUAAGGGACCAAAACGAAACUUUUAAUAGUUAAGGGACCAAAACGAAACCAAAAAGUAAGUUAAGGGACCAAAACGAAACCAAAAAAUAAGUUAAGGGA
Medicago truncatula (barrel medic) is the source of this 281-nucleotide microRNA precursor. It matches the Rfam family "MIR2655 microRNA precursor family". The record is from Rfam. Lineage: Eukaryota; Viridiplantae; Streptophyta; Magnoliopsida; Fabales; Fabaceae.